AAGUCGUAACAAGGUUUCCGUAGGUGAACCUGCGGAAGGAUCAUUACAAAUCUCUGAUAUUCACGAUUGUUGUGAGAAUAGAGUCAUUCUCACACAUCGACAUUACCAUAUUACCUAUUGACACUUGUAUAUAUUUACAAAUUAACCAAAGAAUACCUUUUAACAAUGGAUCUCUUGGCUCUU
RNAcentral lists this unclassified non-coding RNA (183 nucleotides) under Rozellomycota sp. RNAcentral describes it as "Cryptomycota sp. partial contains small subunit ribosomal RNA, internal transcribed spacer 1, and 5.8S ribosomal RNA". The stretch from base 1 to 46 matches the Rfam family "Eukaryotic small subunit ribosomal RNA", at positions 1786 to 1831 of the family's 1831-position model. The record is from RNAcentral. Lineage: Eukaryota; Fungi; Rozellomycota.